Molecule: long non-coding RNA, 1069 nt
Filed under: Helianthus annuus (common sunflower)
Lineage: Eukaryota; Viridiplantae; Streptophyta; Magnoliopsida; Asterales; Asteraceae
Source: RNAcentral
GGGGUUCUGUCUCGGGACAUCAGGAUAAGGUUGAAUUAGGGGUAUUAUACUUAAAGUGCAUUAUAUAUUUUUAAAUAGCUCAGAAGUUAUACCCAAAAUUUGUACCAGGAGAUUUUCUAGUUGAACCCUAAAGUUAUAAAGUGGGGUCCAUUCUCUUUUCUCACCGUUUUAUUUCCUUUUUGUGAUUCACUCAAAACUAUUAUUUAUUAUUUUGUCAAAUAAGAACCUCUAUUUGAGACCCCAAGUGAUUCUGUAUAAACCCUAAAAUUUUCAUAACAAUUAGAAACAGGAUCAGGGCCCCUAAAACUCAGGGGGGCAUUUCCCAUUCGAUAUUAUCCACACAGUUUCUUGUCAAAAACGAAUUUCUUUAAACCGUCGACUCAGCUAGGCUACCAGGACGCGAAGCAACCCUAUGCUGAAAUUGGACCCGUCGUGCCACGCGAAGGAUACAAGUCUCCCUGUCGCGACACGCGGGUUCGACGAACAAAUUCGAUUCAGGCACUGAGGUAUCGUCCAAAUACUACAGAAACACACACGAUCACGAAACGCUGCUACGAUACAGGGUAUUAACUCGAUCGCUGCUACGAUUCGAUGUCCGAUCGAUUGAAACUAUCCGAUGAAUGUUUAAGUGCUAAUCAAAUUGGGUUUAUACUUUGUCAUUCGUCGUGAUUCCGACAGGAUGUUUGAGUGUCACCGGAACUCUGGCUAUACUCUGUCAUUUGUUGCGAAUCCGCUGGAUGUUUAAGUAUUGCACUUUGUUAUUCGUCGUGAGGGUUUAAAUCUCGUGAGCUUAUCGUAAAAGUUGUAUUCAGUUAAUUACCUAGUUUCGUGUGCAUUAUCGCUUAAACUAGGUUAUCAGGCUUAUCAGUAUGCUAAACUUCACCCCAUACACUUACAAUCAAAGUAGAUGCUAAUUCUCAGAAGAAUUUGAAUUUGAAUCAGGAAGCUUGUUAAAUCAAUAUUGCAUGCUUAUAAUGUAAUUACAGUAGAUUGGAGUAAGAGUUGGAUACGGAACUGAAAGGCUUCAAGAAGUGGCUUAUUUUAUUAAUUAAAUCAAAUUAAGAAAUAU